AAAAACAGCAAUUGGUGUAAAUUAGCUGUCGUCAUACUGAAGUCAGCUGAGUGCAGUAACUUGAGACUACACAGGAGUCAUGUAAAGCUACUGUACAGGAAGUUAGAAUCAUACCCUUUCUCAAGGACCUGGUAUACAAGGAGCAUAAAGAAGGUAUAAAAGGACUAUGAAAGAAGACUAGCUCAGGCAUCUGCAUUUCAUGAGCUGAAAAAAAGACUUGUGUCAUGCUCCCAAGGAAGUAAAAAGGGUCAUGAAACGAAGACAAAAGCUACUGAAAAGCUUUUUGAAACCAUGUCAUUAAAAGUAAACCGAAAUCAUUCAGAUCUGGAUAAAUG
Molecule: long non-coding RNA, 335 nt
Filed under: Apteryx rowi (Okarito brown kiwi)
Lineage: Eukaryota; Metazoa; Chordata; Aves; Apterygiformes; Apterygidae
Description: lncRNA (ENSARWG00000008856.1)
Source: RNAcentral